RNAcentral lists this long non-coding RNA (246 nucleotides) under Panax ginseng (ginseng). Its description in RNAcentral is "long non-coding RNA (PGIN_LNC003783)". Lineage: Eukaryota; Viridiplantae; Streptophyta; Magnoliopsida; Apiales; Araliaceae. The record is from RNAcentral.
GAACAUUUGGCCAUCAGAUUUGAGGGUGGGUACCCGACUGGCGUCGAGUACGUGAUCUCUACCCGAAGAGUUCCUCUCUUUACAGAUGGAUGAUGGGAGCUCUAUUUAGGAGAACGUGCUAUUAGGAGCACCACAUGAGAGAUUCGCAUGCCAAUCUUGCCUCCUGCCAGGCGUCAUUGGCUUGUAUCGCAAACACCCGUCACUGAUAUCCCAUUGUUGGGGGUUGACAACUUUGCAUUAUCAGAG